This 85-nucleotide transfer RNA is filed under the name Felis catus (domestic cat). It matches the Rfam family "tRNA". Rfam says of the family: Transfer RNA (tRNA) molecules are approximately 80 nucleotides in length. Their secondary structure includes four short double-helical elements and three loops (D, anti-codon, and T loops). Lineage: Eukaryota; Metazoa; Chordata; Mammalia; Carnivora; Felidae. The record is from Rfam by way of RNAcentral. RNAcentral also lists the same sequence under 2 other names.
ACCUGGGUGGCUCAGUUGGUUGGGUGUCUGACUUUGGCUCAGGUCAUGAUCUCGUGGUCCGUGGGUUCGAGCCCCACAUCAGGCU